This is a long non-coding RNA of Oreochromis aureus, 4649 nucleotides long. Lineage: Eukaryota; Metazoa; Chordata; Actinopteri; Cichliformes; Cichlidae. The record is from Ensembl.
GUUUUGGUGAGUUUGUGUGAAUUGCAGCUUCAGUUUGCAUUUCUCAGGGGGAAAGAGUAUCACCCAGUGUGAUCUUCUGCUGCAGUAACCCAUCUGCUAUACAUUUAAAUGUGUUGUGUAUUCCGAAAUGCUCUUCUGCAUGCCCUGAUCGUAACAAGAGGUUAUUUAAGUUACUGUUGUCUUCGUAUCAGCUUGAGACAGUCUGGCCUUUCUCCUGUAUAUAGAGUUGUAUAUAUAGAGUAUAUAGAGUUUUUCAUUCAGAGAACAGCUGCUCUAUUUCCUCUUUGUCAGACUCUUCUCUGUAAACCCAGGAGAGAAAUCCCAGCAGAUCAGCAGCUUCUGAAACAGACAGCUGGUCUGGCACCAACAACCGUUCAGGGUCACCCGUAUCACCUUUCUUCACCAUUACAAUGAGAACACAAAUCCAUGAAGAAAAAAAGAUUUAUGAAACACAUUUCAGUGCAAAUAAAACAUCUUCAUGUUCCCUCGAUGGUCUUGGUGUCAGAAAUGAAAUAAAAACAAACAUUUUAAGGAUAACAGACAAACAGGAAACAGCUGAUUGCAGACACAGCUUUAGUUACUUAUUGAAAUUCACAAAAUCAUUUUGUUGUUUUUGAAAGAGUUUAAUGUCAAUACAAAGUCAAUCUCAGCAGAUAGUGCACUUACAAAAACUGUGAACCACUGAUAUAAAUAAGACUAUUUUGGUGUCACUCAGCUCUUUAUUUUCUGUCCUUUAAGCAAAUUUCUAUAUACGUGACUUUCAAUCUGUUUCUUGUUAAACACAGACCACCAGAUUCCAGUAAUGUAUUGCUGACAGGGCACUAACCAUUAAAUCCUUUUUUCUUUUUUUUCUUUUUUUUAAGACAGUGCAAUAAUAAAGCUGAUCUUUGUUAGCUUCUUUUUUUGCUGCCGUGUGCUCUCAGAGACAAACAGCCUACAGAUGUAGCUGGUCUGAGCUCCAUGAGCUGUAAAAAGUACUGCCAGCAGAAUAAAAUCAAACAAAAACAGUUUAUUCUCUGCAGCACAAACUACGUGUAAUGUGGUUCAUCAUAAGUUACUAAGCUGAUCUCCACAUAUCUGUGUGAAAUCUGAGAUCUCAGUCAGCGCCUUCUCUUUCUGUUAUUUAACCUGAGGAGGUUUAAAACAGAAGUUUUGUUUUCAGCACAUAUAGCAGCUACAGAAGGAGCAGCACCUGACCCACAUAACAUAUAAAGACUUUUAAAAAAUUACUUCUUUUUUUUUUUGCUAAUGCUUUGGGGUACUGUUCAUAUUUUAGAUCAGGAUCCAUUCUCAAAAACCAAAAUUUUGUUCCAGUGAGUCUCAAGCUUUGUUACGUUUAUUUGAGAAAAAAAAUAAAAGCUUGUUGAUCAGUGUAAUCAGUCACUCAGGAGGAGGAGAGAAACAACGUCCUGUGGAUUAGAAACCUCUCUGUGUGAUAGUUUUAAUCACGGCAUGAUGACAUUGCUAUGUCAGCCUUUCCUUACUGGAACUUCUUUCAGCCACACUCAUUUCUUUAACUCUGUACAGGAAACUUGUUUCAUGUAAGUAUAAUCAGCUCUGCUGCUGCUCGGUGGUCUCCAUCCUUCUGUCCCAAAUGGCUUCUUUCAAAUUCUUCCUCUUUUUGUCUCUAAUCUCAGACUUAACAGGUGAGCAAAAUGAACAUUUUUAUUCAUGUUUUAAUUCCUUGCUUAGUCCCAUGUGAUCCAUUUAACUGGUUAACUCUAAACCCCAAACCAGGAAAUAAUAGUUUAUAAUUGUGAUGUCUUCAGCUUUUCAGCAGGAUGUUCAGGUGAAGCUUGGAGAUGACGUCACUCUCCAGUGUCAGGUUUCCACAGAUGAAAUAAUCUCAGUGCUGAAGUGGAGCAGAGCUGACCUGAACACAGACGGCUACGUCUACUUCUACAGGAACAAACGCUCCUAUGAAAACUACCAACAUCCAUCUUUUCAUGGUCGAGUGAAGCUGAGGGACCCGGAGAUGAAGGAUGGAGACGUUUCUCUGAUCCUGAAGAAAGUCACGUUUAAUGACACUGGGAUUUAUGAGUGUCACGUAGCAGUGAGGAACCCUGUGAGAAGUAAAAGAGUUCACACUGAGAUCAGUCGCUUCAUCAACCUCACAGUCACAGGUGAAACACAUGAAAGCGUGUCAGAGAAACGAGUCGUGGAAAGAGGAGACGCAGAUGAAAACAUGGAUGGUACUGAAAGGGUCGGAGCUCCAUCUCUUCAGUUUUCUGUGACCAAUUUUGAGGAACUUCCUUCUGACCUAUUGAAAAAACAACAGGGUGUAUGGACUUUGUCAGUGGAUAAUUUUUCCAUCCUGAUGAUCAGAAGAGUGUUUGAGGGUUUCAGAGAUCCUUCAGAUCAACAGUAUUUGUUUGUCACAUGUCUGGACUUGCAGCUGCUCAAACAGGACAAACAAAGGUGGGGGUGAAAAUGUUGAUGCAGGUCACAGAUGUCUGAUAUAAAACAGCUGACAGAAAAUACAGGUUAGUUUAGUCUGCAGCUGUUUGAUACAGACAUACCUUUACUUUGGGAUUUUAAACUUUUACAUUUUUUAUGAUUUGAUUUUUUUUUAUUUCUCAAAUAUUUACAUCUGAGUAACUUUUUACUUCUUUGUAACAAAACUUCAGUCGCUUCCUUUUCACCUACUGAAAAACCGAUGGGACAUACUGACCUCACAGUUUUUUAUCUGUCAGUAGAUCAUUUUAUUUUUUCCACUCUGAUGAUCAGAAGAGUGUUUGAGUGUUUCAGAGAUCCUUCAGAACAACAGUAAGUGUUUAAUAUGACAUCUUUAAGUCUUCUAAGUAAUCUGACAGGUUGACUGAUUUCACAGGCAGUGUUGAGUGGGAGUUUCUCUUUAUAUGUUUGUGUUAGUGGAAAAUGUGAUGGAACUUUCCCUGCAGUGCGAUCAGCUGUGGUCAAUCUUUUUAAUUAUUGCACACAGGACAGCUAAACAGACAGCGAACAUCACUGUCCCACAGUCGGGAGAGCUCUGCCCUUGAGACGCCACAGGUUCCUGCUGACCCAAUGAAAAUGCUGAUGGGGAAUACCAGCCUCACACUUUUCUGUCACUGGAUAAUUUUUCCAUCCUGAUGAUCAGAAGAACAACCAGAAAAACAUCACAGCAAAGUCUGGACAGAACGUCACUCUGACAUGUCGAGCUCCAAACAGCAACAUUGGAGUUAUAGAGUGGAGCAGAACUGACCUGAAGGAAGAAUAUGUCCUUUUGUACCGAGAUGGACACUUAGAUCAAGAUCACCAGCAUCCAUCUUUUAAGAACCGGUCGGAUCUGCAGGACAGACAGAUGAAGGAUGGAGACGUGUCUGUGAUUCUGAAAUAUGUGACGAUUAAUGACACUGGAACAUACAAGUGUUGUGUCCAGAAAGACGGAGACAGUUUGAAGCUCAUCUGCAACAUCACCCUGAGUGUUGAUCCUCCAGGUCAGACAGGAGGAGACACGGAGGAUGGAGGGAAGGAGGAUGGAUCUGUUCUGAAAGUUGGUCUUCCAGUUGGGGUUAUUGUUGCUGCUGCUGUUGUUGUUGUUGUGUGCUACAGACGAUAUAAACAGAGUCUGGAUUCACAUCGUCCUAAUGCAGAACCAUAGACUGAAAUGUCUGAGAGCUUCCUGAACUCUGAAUCUUCUGCUGCUGAACACAAAGACAAAUGAUCUGAAAACAGACACCAUCACUUCAGAAGGAUCCACGAUUUCACUCUAAUAUUUGACAAUGAACCGUUUCAUCGUCAUCCUCUGCAGAAAACAGCAUAACUGCUUGAUAAUGUCUGACAGCAGUUUGAAGAGGAAAUGGAUUCUGUUCUGUUCUUCACUCAUCACCUACCUGACAGCUGACACCUCACACCUGUUUCUCACCUGCAGGUCAAGGAGGAGACACAGAGGACGGGUCUGUUGGACUAAUAGUUGGUCUCUUAGUUUCUGCUAUGGUUUCUGUUGUUGUUGUUGUUGGUUUUCUGAUCUAUAGAAAACAUCAGAAAGGUGUUUUAUAACUGAGCUGUUAAAUCUCACUGUCACAUGACACAUGACUUGUUGAUCAGCUCCAGCUGAAUGAAUGUUAUAAUGAACAGUGUUAUGAAAUUAUUUCCAUGGAGCUGCAGAGUCAGAUGUUUCCUCUCCGAUCUGUGAAACUUUGAACUUUUCCUACAGUGAAGGAAAAUCUUCAGUCUGUUGUUGCAGUUUAAACCAGAUCACACAUUAGUUUAACAUUUAACAAUGUUUUUUGUGACUUUUCUUGUUCAUUUCUUAUAAAUUUUGAAAGAUCAGUCCUGAAUUGUUUCUAUUAAUUUUCUUUAAUUCUUAAAUUUUUUGUUUUCUGUGGCCGUAAAAGAUGAAAGAAGUUUUCUGACCUUUUCCUGCAGAUUUUAUCUGACCUGAAUGAGUCCAAACAGACCACUGAACAUGUGUGAAGGAAAAAAACACACAAUAAAAAUGCUCUUUGAAACCGUUUCCCUGCCUGAGAGAUGAAGCUGAGAUUUAAGUUUGUUCCUGUAACAAGAAACAAAAAGAUGGAGGAUCGCUCUCAGAGUGGAAACAUGAUUUGAAGCUGCUGUGAACAGAUUUAAAUGAUGCUCAUUUUUAGACAAUGUUUUGAUAACUGUGCAGGGUUAUCAAACUUUUUCAUUCUUCAACCUGAAAAUAU